Non-coding RNA from Dictyocaulus viviparus (bovine lungworm), 72 nucleotides. Lineage: Eukaryota; Metazoa; Nematoda; Chromadorea; Rhabditida; Metastrongylidae. The record is from Rfam.
GCCUAGGCAGUGUAAUGGAAAGCGCGGCAGACCGGAUAUCUGUAAGUGCGGGUACGAGUCCCGCCUGAGGUU